CCUCCACCCUUUCAUCCGUCUCCUUCUCCUCUCCGAUCCUGAAGAAAGGUAUUGCUGAGAAGCAAAGCACAAGUUGGAAGAUUCAAAAUGAGCUGCAGACAAGUUGUGGCAUUGGAUGGUCUACUCUGGGAAUGCCAAUAUCUGAAACUGUUGCUGUGAAGCCAAUGGAAAUGAGUCAUGUGACUGAUACUUUGACAAAGAACUCGCGUUUCUGACCUCAUGCUGUGGUGGGAUCCUGGAGUCUCAUGUCUAGUUUUGCUGUAAACUUUGGACCCAGUAGAUGCAGAAACCUUUGAUUUGGUGUUGCAAGAAGACUGACUGAAGCGCGGUGGAUACUGGCAUAAAGGAUUGGUACUAAUGUAGAGCUGUCCCAGUCAGGUGGCCAGUAAUUUACAACUGCCAGUGUAGCUAAGAAUGAGGUGAAUGCAGGAGAUGAAGAGGAAGGCCCAAGAAAACAUGACAGAGAACAUUGGAGACUGAGCACCAACAACAACUAGCAUAAUGUAGAGGGCUGCGGGUCCUGACCGAUCAUUGCGGCACGUAACUGGGCUGUGCAUUCCACCUCCGUAGGCAGUUAGCCUAGCUGCAUCAUAGUUUGCAUCCCUUGAAGGCCGAUCAUUGCGGCGCAGACCAGCUGGCUGGUGUGUUUACGGACAUAUUCAAUCAAUCCCUAUCACAGUCUGUUGUUCCCACAUGCUUCAAGAGGGCCACCAUUGUUCCUGUUCCCAAGAAAGCUAAGGUAACUGAGCUAAACGACUACCGCCCCGUAGCACUCACUUCCGUCAUCAUGAAGUGCUUUGAGAGACUAGUCAAGGACCAUAUCACCUCCACCCUACCUGACACCCUAGACCCACUCCAAUUUGCUUACCGCCCAAAUAGGUCCACAGACAAUGCAAUCUCAACCACAC
Oncorhynchus tshawytscha (Chinook salmon) is the source of this 908-nucleotide long non-coding RNA. The record is from Ensembl. NCBI's taxonomy places the organism in Eukaryota, Metazoa, Chordata, Actinopteri, Salmoniformes, Salmonidae.